UGAGCAAUCUGCCCUUCUCUUUGGAAUAAGCGUUGGAAACGACGUCUAAUGCCGAAUACGACCUCCUUUCGCAUGAUCGGAGGUUGAAAGCUCCGGCGGAGAAGGAUGAGCUCGCGGCCUAUCAGCUAGUUGGUGUGGGUAAUGGCCCACAAGGCGACGACGGGUAGCCGGCCUGAGAGGGUGACCCGGCCACACGUGGGACUGAGACACGGCCCAGACCUCCGUACGGGAGGNAGCG
This 238-nucleotide ribosomal RNA is filed under the name uncultured bacterium. RNAcentral's name for it is "partial 16S ribosomal RNA". It matches the Rfam family "Bacterial small subunit ribosomal RNA", at positions 118 to 353 of the family's 1533-position model. The record is from RNAcentral.